AUGGGUCACACCAUUGGAGUUGCAGAUGAUGAAAUAGCAGACAUACCAUGUUCAGAUGCUUCACCAAUUCUGACCGAAUAUCACAUCACAGUCCCUACCCUUCACGAUGGACUAAUGCAAGGGGCAGACCAGCACGAGAGACGGCUUCUGGAUGUCCUCAAAGCAACGCCUUCAGUGCAAUGGCUGAAGGACAUCAACGUCUGCGGUCCACUGGGAAAAAUUCAGCUGCCAUCGAUCGGCGUCCACCGCUACCUCCAUGUCCACUUCAUCAGAACAGUCGACUGGAGCUCACUGCUCGCCAUCUGCAAGAACCACCUCAAGCAUCCUCUCAACAUCGCCCUACUCAUCUGGCUGCUCUGCGUCGCCGCCGCCGGCGCCAUGCUAGGACUGCUCCUGUUGGGGCUGCUGAACAAGGCAUUCCCUUCCAGGGCCUUGAGGCACCACUGGAUAGAGAUCGACAACCAGAUCCUCAACGCCCUCUUCACGCUCAUGAGCAUCUACCAGCAUCCCAUCCUCGUCCACCACCUCGUUCUCCUCUGCCGGUGGCGGCCGGAGGACGCCGCCCAGCUAAGGAAGGUGUACUGCAAGAAUGGCGCCCGCCGUCCCAACGAGCGAGCGCACAUGUCCUUCGUGGUGGCCCUCCUCCACGUCACCUGCAUCUCGCAGUACAUGGAGUGCAGCCUCUACUGGGGCUACCCAAGCAGGUCGCGCUCCGAGCUCGCGGAGAACUUCUUCUUCAUCCUCGGCGUCGCCGCGCCGGUCGUCGCCGGCGCUCACGCGGUGUACAGCCCUCUAGGCAGAGACGACGACGCCGCCGCCGCCUCCUGCGAAGAGACCAAGCAGCUCCACGCAGCCGGAGCCGAAGAAUCGCCGGAAGAAAUGACGGUGGUCGGCAACCCGAUGUGGGCGGGGGAGCUGCUGGACUGCGGCGAGGACCCGGCGGCGUGCUACCUGUCGUUCCUCUGCACCUUCUGCGUGUUCGGCUGGAACAUGGAGCGGCUGGGGCUGGGCAACAUGUACAUGCACACGGCCAUGUUCCUGCUGCUGUGCGUCGCGCCCUUCUGGGUGUUCAACGUCACGGCGCUCAGCAUCCACGACUACGCCCUCAGCGAUGCCUUCGGCGCCGCCGGGGUGGUGCUCUGCUUCCUCGGGCUCCUGUACGGGGGCUUCUGGAGGAUGCAGAUGAGGAAGCGGCUCGGGCUGCCCCGGAGCAGGUGGUGCUGCGGCUCGUCGUCGCUGACGGACUACGCGCAGUGGCUCCUCUGCUGGCCGUGCGCGCUCGCGCAGGAGGUGCGCACGGCGAACCUGUACGACCCGAGGGGCGACGGCGGUUUCUACGGGAAGCUGGUGGACGGCGGUGACCCGGAGCGAGGGCCGGACGUGCCGGUCUCCGCUGAAGUGCAGGAGGUGGUCGGCGGUGUUGUCAAUCCGACGGUGGACGGCGAGAUGAUCCCGCCCGUGCAGCCGGUGGUGGAGUCUGGACGGCAGAGGCAAGCCGGCCACGAAGAAAUUGUUGCAAAUGGCAGUAGCGUCCAGCUCAAAAGUUGA
Molecule: ribosomal RNA, 1548 nt
Filed under: Triticum aestivum (bread wheat)
Lineage: Eukaryota; Viridiplantae; Streptophyta; Magnoliopsida; Poales; Poaceae
Description: partial small subunit ribosomal RNA
Source: RNAcentral